Molecule: ribosomal RNA, 254 nt
Filed under: uncultured bacterium
Lineage: Bacteria
Description: partial 16S ribosomal RNA
Rfam family: Bacterial small subunit ribosomal RNA
Source: RNAcentral
UACGGGGGGGGCAAGCGUUGUUCGGAAUUACUGGGCGUAAAGGGCUCGUAGGCGGCCAACUAAGUCAGACGUGUAAUCCCCCGGCUUAACCAGGGAACUGCGUCUGAUACUGGAUGGCUUGAGUUUGGGAGAGGGAUGCGGAAUUCCAGGUGUAGCGGUGAAAUGCGUAGAUAUCUGGAGGAACACCGGUGGCGAAGGCGACAUCCUGGACCAACACUGACGCUGAGUGAGCGAAAGCCAGGGGAGCAAACGGG